CAGGACCGAGGGUGGGGGGUCGGGUCGGGGCUUUACUUUGGUCUUUGUGUUUGGAUUCUGGUCUGGUUGACUGGGACUGGCUUCCGCUAGACUUCACUUACUUCAGCAGUUUCACGUCCCUUAACAGCGUUGGAGGAAAUUGAGAGGAAAGGUCUUUCUAAAAACUAAAAAAAGAAGGGAUCACUCGUUUUGUCAAAGAAAGCUUUGUCUGAGUUGAUUCACCCUUAAGCCUUGGGUAUAUUAUUAUAUGAAAGCUAUAUUAAACACAAAUGAAUAUUAAACAGAUCUUUAUUAUUUUGUAUACCAGAGCAUGCUGUGGUGCCGUAUGCUCUCUAACAGUAGACUCAACCACAGGCUGGACGUUACUUUACCAGGUGGAAAGACAAAUAAUGAGGACCGUUUUAUUUAACUGCUGUUGCUGCUGAACGCAGUGGCACACAGCAUGUAGUCAAAGCGUUUUCUGAGACAGCGUCCACAUCUGUAGCGCUUCAGCAAACCCGCAGUGAUUUUUGAGAAAGACUCCAAACAACACCACGCUAAUUGGACUUCUAGGUACACUGGGCCUCAUGAAAGAACAUUUUCUUCUUCGUCUUCUUCGUGCGCGGACGUGUUAUAAUUGCACAGCUGAGCCUUGUGAACACCACCUGUUAAUCAGAAAGUCUGCUCCUUAAAGUUGAAACCCCCAAAGUUUACUUUUCUGUUCCAGCUUUCAUGCUCAAAAAUGUUCCUAGCAGAGGGUCACGCUGCGGAGAUUAAAGUCUUGCUGCCGGAAAUCAGCAGACAAAAAAACAACAAAUAUAGCAAUGUCCGUAAUUACAAUCCCUGAGAAAAAAGAAGAGAAAUAACCUGCUAUUUGCAGCUGUAAUCAGAGAGCUGUAUGCUCCCAAAAAAACAAAAACACCCUGCUAAAGCAAAGCAGUCCAGGUGGUGUUCUGUGCCAGGUGUAGCAGGGGAUAUGUUUAGCUCGACAGGGACCAGUAUAAAGAUGCUGAGGCAGCUGUUGUUAGGAAACAGUGACCCCAAAAAGCUGGAGGUCAUGUUCACUGCUUGCUCAUGUAUUGAACAGAAGUCUGAUUUUACAAAAUUGGAAAUGUUGUGAAACCUCACAACCUGCAAACAGGUUGUUUUUCAUAUACUAGUGAAUAUGAAAAGAUGAAUACCGUGGAGAUAUGUGUCCAGCUUUAGGGCUAAGUGGUAGAUGCUGAGGUUUGCUAUCGAUAGAGCACGCUGUCGGGUUAGAGUUAGAGAUCUCCUCAUACAAGGCGGUUUUUGCACGAGGUCCAGUUUUCACAGCAAACUGCGUAUUCAAAGUCGGGAUGUGGACGUUUGUCUAAACAGAAACCACGAACGGUGUUUUCUGCGAGCACAGCAGGGGAAUCUGAAGAGGGUUGGUUUUAGCUGGCCUUAUAUAAUCUUUCUAACUUGUUUCUAAUGCUGACUGUUCAAUACUCUUUGUAUCUCACUUUGGAAAAAAGAAUUGUGUGGAAAGAAGAAGAAAAGGUUUGUUAUCUGUUAUUGGAAUAAGAGCACGGUAAUAACAGAGUACAAGCUGUCUUUUUGCCGUAACGGGUCACACGAGGUCCUCUUUGUUACUCUGCAAUAUAUCAAAACACCUUUUUUUGCAGUAUUUUGUAGAUCCAAGACCUCAACAUUUUUAAAUUCUCUUCUUUUUGUACUAUAUCUAUUCUAUAUAAUUCCACAAGAUCCAGCUCGAUUUAUGGCUUAUGGACUGAAGUAACAUUUCUCCUGGGGUGUACAAAAUAUAGGGCCAGUGUGUCCAGUACAAACCUGAAAGACUUGCAGAUUUAAAGACACACACACACACAUACACAGACUGCUCCACACAGACAGAGCUGUGGUUCAGCAUGCCAGUUAUGUUUCACAAUAGGCCCUUACGCCAACCUGGCUUGAAUAAUUACAGUGAUUAAGGUGUUUUUCCUUCUUGGUUUUGAUAUAAUGUGCUCUAUGCUAUUCCUGUGGCCUUUCAAUAUGAAUAUACUUUAUAUAUAUAUAUAUGAGUUUAUAUGCAAAAGUUCCUCUCCUGGUAUAGCAUCAGAGAUGAGAAUACUACCACCAUGCUUGAAUGGACUUUCCUUGUCUGGAGUCAUAUCCCACAUAGAAUAGGAAAAACACAGAGGACUUGAUCACUUGCACCCUGGGAUUGAAAUAUAUUUCAGAACAGAGCUUUUCUAUUUAAAAAGAAACAAUUGACUUCAAGCUGCUUUCUUGUGAUUUUUUUCUUUCUUUCUUUCUUUCGCGUGCGUGCGUGCGUGCGUGUGUCUUUGUAACAAUGAAAGAGAAAUUAAGUGUUUUUCUCUGUUUGUAAAUUUGCCAGAUCACGGGAACGGCCGUUUCUGUGUCCUUAAACUUGUAGCUACAUCUCGGUGAAAUUGUGCUCUGGAGAGAAAGGUGUGAAUGAGCGAGAGGAGGCGAGGAGCGAGGCGUGAAAUACAAAGCGAAAGAAAAAGUGAAUGAUUUAAAAAUGUUACCUCAAUGAGGAAAUUUUCAGGGAUUUUUUUGACAAUGCAUCUUGCAUCGUGUUACAGCUUCAAAGUCACGUUGAAUAGCUGUUUUGUAUUGUGCUGUAAACAGUUUUUGUUUUGUUUUUAAAAAAAAGAUGCAAUCUGUCUGUGUAUAAAAAGAAGGGGCGUGUUAACUGGGGCAGUUUCACCUUUCUGUCAGUAUAUUGAAUCAACACAAGACAUGUUUAUACCGCAAAUAAAUAUUGAAAUAUUUUUUUUCUUUAA
Astatotilapia calliptera (eastern happy) is the source of this 2747-nucleotide long non-coding RNA. Lineage: Eukaryota; Metazoa; Chordata; Actinopteri; Cichliformes; Cichlidae. The record is from Ensembl.